RNAcentral lists this transfer RNA (70 nucleotides) under Meretrix lamarckii (Korean hard clam). RNAcentral describes it as "tRNA-Met". Lineage: Eukaryota; Metazoa; Mollusca; Bivalvia; Venerida; Veneridae. The record is from RNAcentral.
AGUGAAAGUAAACUAAGGUUUAAGUUGUCUGGCUCAUAAUCAGAUCAUGAAUUUAUAAUUCCUUUCGCUG